AAACCAACCGGGAUUGCCUUAGUAACGGCGAGUGAAGCGGCAAAAGCUCAAAUUUGAAAUCUGGUACCUUCGGUGCCCGAGUUGUAAUUUGGAGAGGGCAACUUUGGGGCCGUUCCUUGUCUAUGUUCCUUGGAACAGGACGUCAUAGAGGGUGAGAAUCCCGUGUGGCGAGGAGUGCGGUUCUUUGUAAAGUGCCUUCGAAGAGUCGAGUUGUUUGGGAAUGCAGCUCUAAGUGGGUGGUAAAUUCCAUCUAAAGCUAAAUAUUGGCGAGAGACCGAUAGCGAACAAGUACAGUGAUGGAAAGAUGAAAAGAACUUUGAAAAGAGAGUGAAAAAGUACGUGAAAUUGUUGAAAGGGAAGGGCAUUUGAUCAGACAUGGUGUUUUGUGCCCUCUGCUCCUUGUGGGUAGGGGAAUCUCGCAUUUCACUGGGCCAGCAUCAGUUUUGGUGGCAGGAUAAAUUCAUAGGAAUGUAGCUUGCCUCGGUAAGUAUUAUAGCCUGUGGGAAUACUGCCAGCUGGGACUGAGGACUGCGACGUAAGUCAAGGAUGCUGGCAUAAUGGUUAUAUGCCGCCCGUCUUGAAACACGGACC
Molecule: ribosomal RNA, 591 nt
Filed under: Saccharomyces cerevisiae (brewer's yeast)
Lineage: Eukaryota; Fungi; Ascomycota; Saccharomycetes; Saccharomycetales; Saccharomycetaceae
Description: eukaryotic LSU rRNA
Rfam family: Eukaryotic large subunit ribosomal RNA
Source: RNAcentral